GAACUUGUGGCCCAUUGGCAAGAUGCCUGACAAUGAAUCAGAACAUUGUAGGUUUGAUUCCUGCCAAGUUCA
This is a non-coding RNA of Emydomyces testavorans, 72 nucleotides long. The record is from the annotation of a GenBank genome assembly. Lineage: Eukaryota; Fungi; Ascomycota; Eurotiomycetes; Onygenales; Nannizziopsiaceae.